CUUGGAAGAAGUGCAUCCUACUAGAUGUUUAUAUGAACCUAAGCGUCAUAACCCACAGAAGUGGAGCACAUGGUUAAUAAACUGGAAUACGGAAUCAGUUUUAAAAGACUUGAAUUAUUUUCCUUUCAUUAUAGUUUAUAAAAUAUAUUCAAUUUAAGGUGUCAUUUUUAUGUGUUUCCAUAACUUGUGCCAUUACAGACGUUUAUUUGAAAAUACAAUUGUGACUGUUUUUACAUACCAUUGGAUUUCUUGAUGUUAAUUUUAGGACAUUUAUAUGAAGGCAACACUUCUUUACUGAUUCCUGUUAUGUUCUGGGCUUGUGUGUUAGGUGAUGUUCGCUUGGCCCUGAAAUCAGUCUGGAAUUUCUUCUGCUAUGAAUUGCCUGGAGAAGUCUUGCUAUUGGAAUACUAGUAUCUAUUCUCCCUACUUAUAAAAUAACCAACCUUCCACUUACGAAACUGACAYUUUGUUGUCAAACUAUGGCUUGGUAGUGCUGCUGCCUGAAUUAAAGGAAUGUGGUGGAUGGAAGUGUUAGUAAAAAGAUUACUCAGGAGUGAGUUCUUGGUAGGAAUAGUUAUCUGAAGUAAAGAUGUUAUUGCACUGAGAAAAAGAUACAUGCAGAACACCCACUGUAAGUAGCUGUAAGUAAAUUCUUUCAAUUCAUCUUUAGGAGUUUUAUUAGAAAUUGAUGCAAUACUUUCAGAAUUGGGGCGUAAACAUAACUAAAAUAUUUUUGCAGUUGCAUGGGUUGCAGAGAUACAUGAAAUAAAUCUGUACAGAACCUUAUGGAAUGAGACUACGAAAAGCUGCAAGCCACGAGCUAAUGCAUAGGCUUUGUCUUUUGCAUUUAUCUCUGCUGCAACUUGUAAUCCUUUCAGAGCACAAGAAUGCUGAAGUAGAAUUGGAAGAGGAAAUUCAGUCUGUUCUUCAUGAAGCUCUCCAUUCCCAGUCUGGAGGGAGACAUGAAGAUGUAGAUGAAAGCAUAAAUGACCAGUGGCAAGUGAAGGAAGAAAUACAUGAAGAAGCUUUUGGAACUCCUACAGCAGAUGACUUACAUGGAGAAUCAGAGAAUGAAAUGCCAGAAGCAUAUGAGUUGCCAGAUUCAAUUCAGAAAGAAACUGAUGUUUUAGCAGAUGAUCUUGGAGCAAUGGAGCCUGAAACGUAUGAAGUUCCAGUUUCAUUUGAUUAUGAUAUGGGUGUGGAAAACACAGUAAGUGAGCCAGAAGCUCCAGGUGAUACUGAGCUAAUGCGAGAAGAUGCUAUUGAACAUCAUACAGAGGACAGAGUGCAUGGGGAUUACAAUGAAGAACACGAACCAAAACAGGAAGAGGAGACUGGGAGCCAAGAUACAGCUGUCGAGGACGUUCCUGAGGAGAUAAAUGAAGUCACAGAGCCGGAUGAAGUUAUUGAAGAUUUGGAAAUUGAUGAAAAGCUGUCAGUAGAAAGUAAACAUACCGAAGAUAAAGUGGCGACUGAGCCUGAGGAAUCAGAAAUGCCUGUUCAAGUUGAGGAUUAUUCAGAUGAUAAUCUAGUGGAUACUUAAAGCUUCAAAAGAAAAGUCCUACAUCAGGAGGACCGGCCCUAACCAUACGCUACAAAAGGGGAGCAGAUGGUUGUAAUAGACCUCACGAUGUAAUUACUGAGCAGUUCAGGGUUUGGGGAGUGAACACUAAAAUAUUGUAAAUGGGUUAUAGCCAACUGUCAUUUUAGUACGCUUUUUUUAACAUUUGGAUGUUUAAUUUACAUUCCUGUCUGAUUUUUUCUUGUCAAGUUCAGUGAAUUCAUUAGUUUCAUUUUUCUUCUGUGUUUGUGACAGGCUUGUGAGUUUGAUCUGCAUUUUAUAUGUGCUGUUCAAGCAAUUUGUUAAUAUUCUAUUUAUAAUGUAGCAGCAAGCACAUUUUUUCAGAUUUUAAUAUAUAUCUUUUGUUGUGGAUUCAUACAGUAUGUAUAGAGCAGUUUGGUCAAAUGAAGCGCAUAAUAUUAUGAAUUUUUACGUGUUUUAUAACUGCUGAUAUAGCAUACAGCCUAAAUGCAUUUUAUUGGAAACAGUAAUCAGACACACACCGAGCUGUGAAGUUUGACCUAUAUCUCUUUGCACUGAUGUUAUGUCAUCAGUUACACUACAUCAAUUUCAGGUCAUUUAAAAUAGUCUAACAAUUUACAAAAUGCGUAUGUUUAAUUCGUAGCAGUAAAAUGGCAGAUUACUAAAUUACUUUUUUCAGAAACCUUUUAUGUAUGAAUUACAGCAUUUUAUUUAUGCACAUUUGAUUUUAAAGCAAAAAGAAGUCUUGAAACUACAUAAUGGUCUGACAGGGAGUCAGUGAAGAUUGAAACAUAGCUGAGUAGCUAGUAUCAAGUUGAGUUUAGUAAAAUUCUUCUAUUUUGCCCACAAAUAUAAUGGUACCACAGCUGGAUUCAGGAAGCUGGAUUCAGUGAACUCUUGACAAAGUUAAAUUUGCAUAAAUACUGGGCUUGUAAAUAAAAAAAAAAAAAUCAGCUUUGGAACUUUAACC
Molecule: long non-coding RNA, 2513 nt
Filed under: Dromaius novaehollandiae (emu)
Lineage: Eukaryota; Metazoa; Chordata; Aves; Casuariiformes; Dromaiidae
Description: lncRNA (ENSDNVG00000019206.1)
Source: RNAcentral